AAUCUGUAACUUCUCUGUUUUAUUAGUUGAAUUGCUUCAUCGCAUUACACAACGCUAGUGUUUACCUUGUUUCUGCCAUUAUGCCGUUUAAUGGUAUUUAUAUAAAAUACAAUUUACAAUCAAACACGUAAUGUCUUUGUCAGACUGUAGAUUGUAGUUCAAUGUGUGAGAUUUUUUUAAACGAACUUUCACGUAUCUAUGAAGGAACUACAUUUCCCAAAAAGCACCGCAGCCUGCCACAGAUCGUACAUAAAGGGAAGCGCGGAAAGUUCUCCCUCUUCUACUUCCGAGGCAACCUAGAAAAAGAUGACUUUGCUGUAUGUUGAAAGUGACAUGUUGAGCCAUGUGUCUGGCAGUCCUUGGGAAAGGAAUUGGCCUUCAGUUGUGGAAGGCUUUCUUUGUCAUACAUAUGCAAAGUUGAUGACCAAGAGUUUGAGUGCAUGGGAAAGAUUUGAUGGACCUUAAAACCUGAAGUCUUGGAAAACUGUUUUCACUGUUUACAGCUGAAAUUCAAAAAGCCUUUCUGUCACUGGACUUGAUGUGUCUAGCCUGCAGUGUGAUCUGCUCUCUGGACCCUCAUCAGUUUUCUUGGCUCAGGUGCAGAGCAUGGUGGUAUGAGCAGAUCAAGGAUUCACAGAACUACCUUCAACUACCCUCUGCCAGCAGAUUCUUUGCAACUGUUAAGCAUCCUGUAUUAGAAUGGUACAACUGGUAGCUGAUAUGUUGGUUAGAGCUGGGCUUUCGGACCUAAAGGUUACAGGUUUGAAUCCCGGCUCUAGCUGUGGUAACAAUUAAGAUGCCUUAAUUGCAUCAGUAAAAUGACUUUCUAGGUAACUUUGGAGAAAGCAUCAGCUAAAUUAAAUGUAGUCAUUGUAUGUAAUUUGAAUUAAUAUAAUGGGCUUAAUUAUGAUUUUUAUUUGAUUUGUUACUUCAGGGUGACUAACUUUUGGUCGGUAAGGGGAUGGUUCGUAACUACAGGCUGUACGGAAGUCAGACGUUUAACCCAGGUACUGCCUGAAUGCUGUUCAGCUUUGUAGAAUUUUUUUUUUUUUUUUUAAAUUGGAAGCUUUAGAGAAACUACCCUUACUUGCUGCUCUUGCUGGUUUAUAAGCCAUUCUGACAUACUGGUGUGGUGCUGUAAACUACUCAAGUAUAAUCUAAUAGAACAAGGUAAAUAUAGUAUUUAGGGUGAACAUAUGGAGUCCUGUUAAUGUAGAAGUUCUUGUACAGCACAAAGCAGUGUAUUCACUAAGUUAAAUUUUGGGUAAUCUUUUGUUGCACUGCUACAAUUCCAGUAUCACCCUGCUUUAAACAUCAUCUUGAAGCCUUGUUCGACCUGAUUUCUGUAAGAGCUUGGAAGAUGUUUGCAAGUUGUGUGUGUGAAGACUGGUAAAUUACCUGUACUAAUAAAAUUUGAAUGGUCCUUUCAAUCUUU
Molecule: long non-coding RNA, 1435 nt
Organism: Scleropages formosus (Asian bonytongue)
Lineage: Eukaryota; Metazoa; Chordata; Actinopteri; Osteoglossiformes; Osteoglossidae
Exons: 6
Source: RefSeq, a predicted model, not a curated record